RNAcentral lists this transfer RNA (72 nucleotides) under bacterium. Its description in RNAcentral is "tRNA-Arg". It matches the Rfam family "tRNA". From Rfam's summary of the family: Transfer RNA (tRNA) molecules are approximately 80 nucleotides in length. Their secondary structure includes four short double-helical elements and three loops (D, anti-codon, and T loops). The record is from RNAcentral.
GCGCCCAUCGUUCAACGGACAGGACAUAAGAUUGCGGAUCUUAAAAUCGAGGUUCGAUUCCUCGUGGGCGCA